Molecule: ribosomal RNA, 218 nt
Filed under: uncultured bacterium
Lineage: Bacteria
Description: partial 16S ribosomal RNA
Rfam family: Bacterial small subunit ribosomal RNA
Source: RNAcentral
ACGCUCGACACCUACGAGAGGCAGCAGUGGGGAAUAUUGGUCAAUGGGCGCAGGCCUGAACCAGCCAAGUAGCGUGAAGGAUGACUGCCCUAUGGGUUGUAAACUUCUUUUAUAUGGGAAUAAAGUUUUCCACGUGUGGAAUUUUGUAUGUACCAUAUGAAUAAGGAUCGGCUAACUCCGUGCCAACAGCCGCGGUAAUCUGAGCGGGCUGGCAAGGC